CCCUUAGAUGUUCUGGGCUGCACGCGCGCUACAUUGACGCACGCAACAGGUGCCUGCUCCGAGAGGACUGGGUAAUCAUUUGAGUGUGCGUCGUGAUGGGGAUAGAAUAUUGUAAUUAUUACUCUUCAACGAGGAAUUCCUAGUAAGCGCCAGUCAGCAGCUUGCGCUGAUUACGUCCCUGCCCUUUGUACACACCGCCCGUCGCUCCUACCGAUGGGUGAUCCGGUGAAUGAUUCGGACUUCAGCGGCUCCCCUGGGGUGCGCCGGAGAAAGUUUUGUGAACCUUAUCACUUGGAGGAAGGAGAAGUCGUAACA
This 315-nucleotide ribosomal RNA is filed under the name uncultured eukaryote. Its description in RNAcentral is "partial 18S ribosomal RNA". It matches the Rfam family "Eukaryotic small subunit ribosomal RNA", at positions 1470 to 1796 of the family's 1831-position model. The record is from RNAcentral.